RNAcentral lists this ribosomal RNA (523 nucleotides) under uncultured soil bacterium. RNAcentral describes it as "bacterial SSU rRNA". It matches the Rfam family "Bacterial small subunit ribosomal RNA", at positions 8 to 526 of the family's 1533-position model. The record is from RNAcentral.
AGAGUUUGAUCCUGGCUCAGAUUGAACGCUGGCGGCAUGCCUUACACAUGCAAGUCGAACGGCAGCACGGGGGCAACCCUGGUGGCGAGUGGCGAACGGGUGAGUAAUGCAUCGGAACGUGCCCUGAAGUGGGGGAUAACGUAGCGAAAGUUACGCUAAUACCGCAUAUUCUGUGAGCAGGAAAGCAGGGGAUCGCAAGACCUUGCGCUUUAGGAGCGGCCGAUGUCGGAUUAGCUAGUUGGCGGGGUAAAAGCCCACCAAGGCGACGAUCCGUAGCGGGUCUGAGAGGAUGAUCCGCCACACUGGGACUGAGACACGGCCCAGACUCCUACGGGAGGCAGCAGUGGGGAAUUUUGGACAAUGGGCGCAAGCCUGAUCCAGCCAUGCCGCGUGAGUGAAGAAGGCCUUCGGGUUGUAAAGCUCUUUCGGCGGGGAAGAAAUCGCACUUUCUAAUACAGAGUGUGGAUGACGGUACCCGAAUAAGAAGCACCGGCUAACUACGUGCCAGCCGCCGCGGUAAUAC